CCUACGGGAGGCAGCAGUGGGGAAUAUUGCGCAAUGGACGAAAGCCUGACGCAGCGACGCCGCGUGAGGGAUGAAGGUUUUCGGAUCGUAAACCUCUGUCAGGAGGGAAGAAAGCGCAUGGCGCCAAUCAGCCAUGCGUUGACGGUACCUCCAAAGGAAGCGCCGGCUAACUCCGUGCCAGCAGCCGCGGUAAUACGGAGGGCGCGAGCGUUAAUCGGAAUUACUGGGCGUAAAGCGCGCGUAGGCUGUUGUGUAAGUUGGGGGUGAAAGCCCACGGCUCAACCGUGGAACGGCCUUUGAACCUGCGCGACUUGAGUCAGGGAGAGGGUGGCGGAAUUCCAGGUGUAGGGGUGAAAUCCGUAGAUAUCUGGAGGAACAUCAGUGGCGAAGGCGGCCACCUGGACCGGUAUUGACGCUGAGGCGCGAAAGCGUGGGGAGCAAACAGGAUUAGAUACCCGUGUAGUC
Molecule: ribosomal RNA, 465 nt
Filed under: uncultured bacterium
Lineage: Bacteria
Description: partial 16S ribosomal RNA
Rfam family: Bacterial small subunit ribosomal RNA
Source: RNAcentral